Triticum aestivum (bread wheat) is the source of this 3757-nucleotide long non-coding RNA. RefSeq lists it as uncharacterized. NCBI's taxonomy places the organism in Eukaryota, Viridiplantae, Streptophyta, Magnoliopsida, Poales, Poaceae. The transcript is spliced from 3 exons. The record is from RefSeq and is a predicted model, not a curated record.
UGCUUUUUAAGAUUGCCUGUAUGCCUGUACAUGAAAAAUCUCAACAAUUCUGUUUCUUGUCUACAUGAUUUUGUGCUAGCUUAUCACAAGUUCACGUUGCAUGCUCAAUGUAGUAGCUAGAUGAAGAAAAGUUAUUGUUCUGUAGCUUUGGUCUUACCAUUGUGGUGCUUGUGUUAUUGCGUGGGAAAAUGAAAGAAAGGAGUAUUUUUGCAAAUCAAUGAAUGACAACAAAGUUUGCUGUUUCCCCACCCAAUUUAGAGCUCCAAAAAAGUUCAGAGUUCAGAGUAGUUGUUUGGAGAUGAACAAUAAAUAAGUAUAAUAAAACAAAAGAAAAAUUUGUAAAAAGUACGACAAAGUUCACUAUGUAUUUCACCAUCAGUACAUAAAGAAAUAUUAUAUAAAAUUCCCUGCUCACAGACUAUAUUUAUAGCCUAAUGGUUAGUGUCAAAAUGUGUUGUUCUUGUUUCUUUAUGGUUGCUUCUUUAUUAUAUGAAUAUGAAUGUGCUAGCUAGCUUAAGCUUAGCAAUACCUUUUGGAGUCAAUAGGUGUAGCUCAAAUAAUUCUUGGGCCAUUUUGUCAUAACAAUAAGGCAGGACAUGCUAACAAGAUGAUGAAACCAUGUAUAUAUAACUUGAUGACUGUCCAAAUUGAGAAAAUCCUGAAAUAUUAUAUGUGCUCUCUUUGUAUCAGUUCUUAUGCUUGUGACAAUUCUGCACUCAUAAUGUGCUCGGUAACUAGAAAAAAAUACAUAAGUUCGAAAUAUACUUACCAUGUUUAUUCAGUGUUUUUUCAGUGGUUAUUGGUUUCCUCUUGAGCAGAUGAACUACAUUGUCACAUUAAACUGCAGGGAGAUGUUCCCUCAGUCCUCUCUCGACAAAUCCAACAGUACAGGUUCUCCGGCGCGCCAAGUAUUGCCGGCGGCGAUGCCUGCAUCAUGGCCCAUUGAGGAGAUCAUGCCCGUCAGUUGUAGGUUUUUCUGUUUGCACAUUUAUUUGUUUAGCUUUAAAUUUUGUUGUUUUCCACAUCUGAUACUUGUGUUAAUGCUUCUAUGUGUGCACUUCUGAUCCCAUUGUGAGUAAAAAGACAAGUGAGAUAAGUACUUAUUUGGAAAGUUUGCAAGUUCAAACACAAAAACCUAGAAGUUCAUUGAAAAAGUUUGGUGUGGUCUUCUCCACCACGAGCCCCAGCGUGGAUCACCUGCAGCAGCCAAAUCCCGGCGCGCCCAGCCACUGCUCGUGAACCCCGCGUCCAUCAGCUCCACUCACCGGAGCCGUCAGCCCGCAGGAGUAGGGGUAGCAGGUUCACCCGACGUACUUGGUGGUGCAGACUUGGUAGCGGUUAUAUUUUGGUUCGAUUAUAUAUCAACAACAGUGCAAUGACUGAAAGAUCAUCAGUCCAAAAUAUAUGCAGGCACCAAAUUCUGCUACUGCUCCGACCACUCAUGCCAAGAAAAGGGAGCACAAUUCGCAAGGUUCAGAGCAAUCUGUCAUAGUUGAUUCAGUGUCUAGGUCUAGUGGAAUCCCCAAGGUGCGUGCAGAUUUAUGAAAUUACUAUGUACGGGGUGAGUUUUGUUUGUUGUGAGUAAUGGACUAAUGGUUAUCUGCUGCUCCUUUUUGUCAAGAAUUUGUAACGAGUUUCAGUUCUGAUUUCACUCGCUCACAGUACCAUUGUUCUUCAUAGCACACCACCUGUUUGUGCAAAUACCUAUGAGAGGAUACCAUACAAUGGAGAUGAAAAGGUGUGUUCAAAAUAAUGUCAAACAACCUGCUCCUUUCAAACAUUUUGGAUAAGUGCAGAAAUGAAAGUGUGCAAGUUCAAAAAAGCUAGUUCAAUAAGGUAUACAGAGAGCUUUUUUCAAAUAAAAGUUUUCCUGCAAUUAUCAUUUUUCGUGUGUGAUCAUUUCUCCACUUAGAGCAAUUUUCAUGUGUGAUCUGUACUUUAGGUGCUAAUAUAAGAAUUCGUGUCCUCAGGGAGUUCAUGUGUUACUACCAUAGGGGUUCAAAAACUACACAAUGAAAAAGUUCGCCCCACAGUACGUUUAAACAAAGAUACUCUAGAAAUUUUAUUGGAAAGAAUACUUAACAUGAGUGGCAUGUUUGUUUUAGUGUGCCUAAAGAAUGGCCCGAUGACGCAAAUGCAUCCUUUCUUUACUGUUUCUCUUGCUUAUUAAGAGCUGAAUUGAUAACUUAUCUUGAACUGAAUGUUGCUGCAGUUUGGGGAUUUUAUGUUAUAUGGCAUUUGGGGAUUUUGCAGCAGUUUGCCAAUAAAGGUUUACACCUCUUCAGAUUAUGAAAAGCUAGUAAGUUCAGACUCUGGAAGGAGAGAUCAUCGUUUGUUAAGGUCUGGUGUUUAGUUGGUGGUUAUGUGGUACCUACACCGUCACUUUUCAUCAAGACCUCAAGAAGAGAUAUCAUCUCAAGUUCAGCGCUGAUUUCUGACUUCCUCGGCCAUCACCACCACCUCAUGUAAGUUCGCUGCCGAGAACAAGCACGACCACCUACAGUCUCCGGUGGUCGCCUUGGCCACCCUCGGCCACGAGCUCGUCCACCAUGGUUAUUCGCACCCGUCCAAGUGGAGCACGGACAUCAGUCCAUGUAGAAUUGAAGCCACCAUCUUCAAAAGCAGAAUAGUUGUGCUAGUUCAAUUUUUUCAGUCCAUAUUAUGUGUGCUAUUCAGUACAUCUAAUGCCAAAUCAUAUGUACAAUUGCCUCAUCUUCAUAUAACAUUCAGGAAUUCAAUUUAUAAUGUUGUUUACUGUCCUAUUUUUUUGGUACCAGUAACCUUCCUAUAUACAUAUGCAGCAUCAGUUCAGCCGCUGUUAUGGUAAUAAGUACUCCCUCCGUCCCAUAAUACAAGACGUUUUUGGAGUUCAAAUUGAACUGCAAAAACGUCUUACAUUAUGGGACAGAGGGAGUAGUUUAGUAACUAGAAAAACAACAAAAGGUUGGUUCACUUUUUUUCUCAGAAGCUUUUCCGGUUCACCUUGUAUAUGGUUUUUCAGUUGACCUUGUAUAUGCCUUCUCAGUUCAUUGUACAUGUUUCAAAAGGAGCUCCCUUGUUUCAGUAGAUGUGGAGAUUGGUAAAAUCUAAAGUUCAACUUUUCUGAUGGGGCACUUCAUAAAGCAAAGAAAAAACCAAGCAGCAAAAAGUGAAGAAAAAGAAAAGAAAACCAAAGUGGUUCUGAGAAGAAAAUGCCUACUAUCGAGUAAUACAUUCUCUCGUUAGUCUAUGGUUAUUUGUUCAUGAGAAUGAAAAAAAUAGUGGUACUAUACAUAGUACGUGAGCUGUUCAUAUAAAAAAUGCCUCGGUUUGUGUAACAUCAGUUCUAACUUUUAUAGCUUGAUAAAUGAUUAGAAAUCAACCUGAAUUCAUUUUGAUCCAUUCUCUUGUGAUUUUAGGCUGAACUCCAAUACUUGCAUCCGCCACCCUAACGCUGGCGUGUUCCCUCAGUCCUCUCUCGACAAAUCCAACAGUACAGGUUCUCCGGUGCGCCAAGUAUUGCCUGUGGCGAUGCCUGCAUCAUGGCCAAUUGAGGAGAUCUUGUGUAUUCCACAUAGAAGAAAUAUUGUCAGUUCAAGAAUAGAGAAUUUCUGUACCAGACUUAAUAUUAGUUUGGUGCGUAUUCUAUCUUCAGUCCAUGAAAAAUCACAGAAUAGUUGGUGCGUGUGUAGAAAAAUCGUCGGUGCAAGUUUCAAAAUUCUGUAACUUUAGAUAUAUCACCUAAAUAAGUAAUGAUUUGCAGCGAGUUUCUUCAAAA